GAGAAGGGGGUAAACGGAAAGGUAGAAGAAAAGGGGAAAUGAUAAAGGAGAGGUAGAAGAAAGGGAAAAGAGAGAGAGAUAAACCUACAUAUUAAGAUCCAUUGAAAAAAGAAGGCCGUAAAUUCUAAAAGAUCAAUGGUUUCAUCUCAUACGGUCAAUAGUCUACCUUUCCCUCAAGUAAUCGCCAUCUUUUCUUUAUAUUGUUCUCGAAAAAAAAACUAUACACCAAUAAUAAGGAAAACAGUAAAUAAACCAUAUUAAUAGGCUGGGAAAACAUCUUGAAUCAUAUAAUAGGUACCACGUGUGCUCUUAUACGCGUGGUCCCUGAAGCGAAGCAGCAGACGAACCAAAACAAAGACCACGUGGAGGCCUGUCCGAGCGCGGCGUCAUAUCUUAGGCGUGUAGCAAGAGGCAUAUGUCAGAGGAGUGCGUCGCCUUGCCCACCUUUUGAUGCCAAACCUGGGGUUCCUCUUGGCAAAUCUCCAUUUAGGCCCCCUUCCCAUUCUCCAGUUGGUGUACCCGACGUCCCGCCCUGGAAUAGAGGAUGAAUGGGUGGAUGAAUGCGGAUCUCUGGUAGAUGACUAGAUGGGUGUGGAUGCUACUACUACUGCUACUGUUACUGCUUCUGGUGCUACCACUAGAUGGGGAGAUGGAGAUGAGCCUUUUACCAUUGUGAAUUUCAUUGGGGAGUUUGUAUUUGAGGGAUUUACUUAGGUUACAAUUGGUUUUCUACUUACGAUUCUUUUACAAUUAUUUUUAUUUUUCGAUGGUGUAGUGGUGGUAGACUUAAGUAGAAUCUGCACCUCAAUUUUGAUCUGAUUUGCAAUAUCACACACACACACACACACACACACACACACACACACACACACACACACACACACACACACACAC
This is a long non-coding RNA of Eriocheir sinensis (Chinese mitten crab), 894 nucleotides long. RefSeq lists it as uncharacterized. The transcript has 3 exons. NCBI's taxonomy places the organism in Eukaryota, Metazoa, Arthropoda, Malacostraca, Decapoda, Varunidae. The record is from RefSeq and is a predicted model, not a curated record.